Molecule: ribosomal RNA, 468 nt
Filed under: uncultured bacterium
Lineage: Bacteria
Description: partial 16S ribosomal RNA
Rfam family: Bacterial small subunit ribosomal RNA
Source: RNAcentral
GACGAACGCUGGCGGCGUGCUUAACACAUGCAAGUCGAACGGAAAGGCCCUGCUUUUGUGGGGUGCUCGAGUGGCGAACGGGUGAGUAACACGUGUGUAACCUGCCCUUGACUUUGGGAUAACUUCAGGAAACUGGGGCUAAUACCGGAUAGGAGCUCCUGCUGCAUGGUGGGGGUUGGAAAGUUUCGGCGGUUGGGGUUGGACUCGCGGCUUAUCAGCUUGUUGGUGGGGUAGUGGCUUACCAAGGCGUGGAGGGGUAGCCGGCCUGAGAGGGUGACCGGCCACAUUGGGACUGAGAUACGGCCCAGACUCCUACGGGAGGCAGCAGUGGGGAAUAUUGCACAAUGGGCGGAGGCCUGAUGAAGCAACGCCGCGUGCGGGAUAACGGCCUUGGGGUGGUAAACCGCUUUCGCCUGUAACGAAGCGUGUGUGACGGUAAUGGGUAAAGAAGCACCGGCUAACUACGUG